CCGCGGUAAUACGGAGGGGGCUAGCGUUGUUCGGAAUUACUGGGCGUAAAGCGCACGUAGGCGGCGAUCUAAGUCAGGGGUGAAAGCCCGGGGCUCAACCCCGGAACUGCCCUUGAGACUGGAUUGCUAGAAUCUGGGAGAGGUGAGUGGAAUUCCGAGUGUAGAGGUGAAAUUCGUAGAUAUUCGGAAGAACACCAGUGGCGAAGGCGGCUCACUGGACCAGUAUUGACGCUGAGGUGCGAAAGCGUGGGGAGCAAACAGG
RNAcentral lists this ribosomal RNA (262 nucleotides) under uncultured bacterium. RNAcentral describes it as "partial 16S ribosomal RNA". It matches the Rfam family "Bacterial small subunit ribosomal RNA", at positions 515 to 776 of the family's 1533-position model. The record is from RNAcentral.